GAAAUGCGAUAAGUAGUGUGAAUUGCAGAAUUCAGUGAAUCAUCGAAUCUUUGAACGCACAUUGCGCCUCCCGGCAUUCCGGGAGGCAUGCCUGUUCGAGCGUCAUCAAACACCAUCGUGCGAAUGAAUUUUCGCGCGGAAGUGACGAUUGAGCGGAAAAUCUUCUUUCGCACCUCGUCGAAAUGAUUGCGGGCGGAAUUUGGGAAAUCGGGGUUCCUCGGCGUAAUGUACCAAUGCAUAUUUAUGUAACUUGCCGCGGAGUUGAGCCUGGCCCACGAGUUCUCGCCGUACAAACACCUCAUUACUUUACAAGUUUUUGACCUCGGAUCAGGUAGGGAUACCCGCUGAACUUAA
This 354-nucleotide unclassified non-coding RNA is filed under the name uncultured fungus. RNAcentral describes it as "sequence contains ITS1". The stretch from base 1 to 105 matches the Rfam family "5.8S ribosomal RNA", at positions 50 to 154 of the family's 154-position model. The record is from RNAcentral. Lineage: Eukaryota; Fungi.